CCGACCUCUAAUCGGAAA
RNAcentral lists this ribosomal RNA (18 nucleotides) under Neckeropsis gracilis. RNAcentral's name for it is "26S ribosomal RNA". Lineage: Eukaryota; Viridiplantae; Streptophyta; Bryopsida; Hypnales; Neckeraceae. The record is from RNAcentral.